AGCUCAAUGAUUACAUGCCCACAGGCAAUAUACACUAUUCUCAAUUUCUCAUUGGUAUAUUAUCAAAUGGAAACAUAAAAUGUAUAUGAGAGCU
Small nucleolar RNA from Papaver somniferum (opium poppy), 94 nucleotides. RefSeq annotates it as small nucleolar RNA U54. The record is from RefSeq and is a predicted model, not a curated record. Lineage: Eukaryota; Viridiplantae; Streptophyta; Magnoliopsida; Ranunculales; Papaveraceae. The transcript has a single exon.